AGCAGCCGCGGUAAUUCCAGCUCCAAUAGCGUAUAUUAAAGUUGUUGCAGUUAAAAAGCUCGUAGUUGAAUUUCGGGAUUUGUCAGUUGGUCGGGCUUCACUGUCCGUAUUGACUUGAUGGAUUCUUACCUUCUGAAUAACCAGCAUGCUAUUAAGUUAGUGCGUUGGGGAAGCAGAUCUAUUACCUUGAAAAAAUUAGAGUGCUUAAAGCGAGCUAGUGCUUGAAUAGAUUAGCAUGGAAUAAUAAAAUAGGACGGCAUGGUUCUAUUUUGUUGGUUUCUAGGAUCACCGUAAUGAUUAAUAGGGAUAGUUGGGGGCAUUAGUAUUCAAUUGUCAGAGGUGAAAUUCUUGGAUUUAUUGAAGACUAACUUCUGCGAAAGCAUUUGCCAAGGAUGUUUUCAUUAAUCAAGAACGAAAGUUAGGGGAUCGAAGACGAUCAGAUACCGUCGCAGUCUUAACCAUAGACUAUGCCGACUAGGAAUCGGACGAUGUUAAUUUUAUAAUGACUUGUUCGGCACCU
RNAcentral lists this ribosomal RNA (520 nucleotides) under uncultured Acaulospora. RNAcentral describes it as "SSU rRNA". It matches the Rfam family "Eukaryotic small subunit ribosomal RNA", at positions 569 to 1088 of the family's 1831-position model. The record is from RNAcentral. Lineage: Eukaryota; Fungi; Glomeromycota; Glomeromycetes; Diversisporales; Acaulosporaceae.